AUGCAUGCAUGUACGGCGGCUGGGCUAGCUGUUGCCAUCCUACCACGAACCACCGCCGCCGCCACCGCCGCCGCCGGCGUCAUUGCUGCUGCCAUUCCCGAUCAUGCUGUUAUUCCAGAACCCCAGGGUCUCAUGGCCGCCGCCGCCACCGCCGCCUUGGUCUUUGCUGUGCUCAAACUGAUCGCCGCCGCUUGCACCUCCUCCACCCGCGUUCGUACCCGGCUUCAAGUCCUCGAACGGGAACAGCAUCCUUCCCGUUGCGCUCUCCUGCGCCCCCUGCAAUCCAGCGCCGUAUCCCCCGGCGUCGCCACCUCCUCCCGUGUCCAAAGAGAACCCGAGCAUGUUCUGAACCUGCUGCUGGUGUUGCUGGUGUUGCUGCUGCUGCUGCUGCUGAUGGUGUUGCUGAUGCUGCAGCGGCAUGCGGAACUCGCCAAGCGCGAAUCCCGCGGCUGCGUACUCAGGCGGCAUCCCGAGCUGCACCUGCGGCAUCGGUACGUAGCAGCCGGUGCUCCUCAGCAGCUCCAUCGCCGAAAACGCGCCCAUGCCCCUCCCGCCACCCGCGCCGUUGGCCGCCAUGGUGCCUCCCGGGUUGCAGACGCUGCUGCUCUCCAGGCUAGGGAACGCCGCGAACUCCGACGGGUGCAAGACGCGGCCGUGGUGGUGCGGGAACGCCAGGUUGAGGUCGUGCGCGCCCUCGUGCAUCAGCUUCGGGUUCUUGGCCGCCAUCCCGCCGAUCGGGACCGUCCCGGACGCCGCCCCGGAGGUGGAGACGGCGCCCGCCGCGGACGACACCACCGACGACGACGAUCUCUUGUUCUUCCGUGA
Molecule: ribosomal RNA, 825 nt
Filed under: Triticum aestivum (bread wheat)
Lineage: Eukaryota; Viridiplantae; Streptophyta; Magnoliopsida; Poales; Poaceae
Description: partial small subunit ribosomal RNA
Source: RNAcentral